UACGAAGGGUGCAAGCGUUAAUCGGAAUUACUGGGCGUAAAGCGUGCGUAGGUGGUUUGUUAAGUCUGCUGUGAAAGCCCUGGGCUCAACCUGGGAAUGGCGGUGGAUACUGACAAGCUAGAGUGCGGUAGAGGAGGGUGGAAUUCCCGGUGUAGCGGUGAAAUGCGUAGAGAUCAGGAGGAACACCGGUGGCGAAGGCGGGACUCUGGGCCGAUACUGACGCUGAGGAGCGAAAGCGUGGGGAGCGAACAGG
Molecule: ribosomal RNA, 253 nt
Filed under: uncultured bacterium
Lineage: Bacteria
Description: partial 16S ribosomal RNA
Rfam family: Bacterial small subunit ribosomal RNA
Source: RNAcentral